CUACGGGACGCUCCAGUGGGGAAUAUUGGACAAUGGGCGCAAGCCUGAUCCAGCAAUACCGCGUGUGUGAAGAAGGCCUGCGGGUUGUAAAGCACUUUCAAUUGUGAAGAAAAGCCUGGGGUUAAUACCCUCGGGUCUUGACGUUAACUUUAGAAGAAGCACCGGCUAACUCCGUGCCAGCGGCCGCGGUAAUACGGAGGGUGCGAGCGUUAAUCGGAAUUACUGGGCGUAAAGCGUGCGUAGGCGGCUAGGUCAGUCAGAUGUGAAAGCCCCGGGCUUAACCUGGGAACUGCAUUUGAUACUGCCUGGCUAGAGUAUGGUAGAGGGAAGUGGAAUUCCGGGUGUAGCGGUGAAAUGCGUAGAUAUCCGGAGGAACACCAGUGGCGAAGGCGACUUCCUGGACCAAUACUGACGCUGAGGUACGAAAGCGUGGGUAGCAAACAGGAUUAGAUACCCUCGUAGUC
RNAcentral lists this ribosomal RNA (464 nucleotides) under uncultured bacterium. Its description in RNAcentral is "partial 16S ribosomal RNA". It matches the Rfam family "Bacterial small subunit ribosomal RNA", at positions 339 to 795 of the family's 1533-position model. The record is from RNAcentral.